This 365-nucleotide long non-coding RNA is filed under the name Chlamydomonas reinhardtii. RNAcentral's name for it is "long non-coding RNA (CREI_LNC000329)". The record is from RNAcentral. Lineage: Eukaryota; Viridiplantae; Chlorophyta; Chlorophyceae; Chlamydomonadales; Chlamydomonadaceae.
GGGAAUCCUAAAUUAUCACAUACGGCCGCACGGUUUGACUCGCACCGUCAGCGCACGCCGCCCAGUCGGUCACGACACGACAUACGCUCUCCGACCAAGGCAAGCAGCUCCGGCGCAGCCGUCCCUAUCCGCAUCAUACUUCAGUGUUGCAAACUAGCUGCAACCCACCGGCUCCAUACACUGACCACCCACAUACAUCGAACACCACCAGCAAAACAAACACCACCAAACGACACUAGUGAACACUACCACCACGAACAUGUAGGGGACGAUCCACAUGUCACUGCGCAGGGCAGGGUUCUGCCCCAUUGCCGUACUGUUUAAUGUAUGUGCACACGAUCCCUCGGCGCUCACGAGCAUCCUGC